AUACGGAGGAUCCGAGCGUUAUCCGGAUUUAUUGGGUUUAAAGGGUGCGCAGGCGGCCAUUUAAGUCAGCGGUUAAAUCGUGGGGCUCAACCCCAUUCUGCCGUUGAUACUGGGUGGCUUGAUUGCGGUCGAGGUUGGCGGAAUUCGUUGUGUAGCGGUGAAAUGCAUAGAUAUGACGAAGAACACCGAUUGCGUAGGCAGCUGACCAGACCGCAAAUGACGCUCAUGCACGAAAGUGCGGUGAUCGAACAGGAUUAGAUACCCUGGUAGUCCGCACAGUAAACGAUGAAUACUUGUUUUCGGCGAUAUAAUGUCGGAGGCAAAGCGAAAGCGAUAAGUAUUCCACCUGGGGAGUGCGCCGGCAACGGUGAAACUCAAAGGAAUUGGCGGGG
Molecule: ribosomal RNA, 392 nt
Filed under: uncultured bacterium
Lineage: Bacteria
Description: partial 16S ribosomal RNA
Rfam family: Bacterial small subunit ribosomal RNA
Source: RNAcentral